UUUGGGAUUUUUAGAAGAAUUCGUUUCUCUGUACAAGAAUCACAGUUUGCUUCUCGUGAAAUCGUCUUGAUUCAGAGACUGGAGUGUUAAGGCGAUCCGAAGGAAGACCACUGGAACUAGAAGGAUGAGGUAUCUGCGCCACAUCCCUCGUAGAUUCAAGAGCGGCUUCAGAGAGGGUACACAAGAGACUCCGAGGAGCAAGGGAGCAACAGCUACUGCAUAAUGUGCUUCGAGAGGGUCAUUUUGAUUUUCAGAGCGUUUAUUGUGUUGGGUGAGUUU
This is a long non-coding RNA of Morus notabilis, 279 nucleotides long. RefSeq lists it as uncharacterized. NCBI's taxonomy places the organism in Eukaryota, Viridiplantae, Streptophyta, Magnoliopsida, Rosales, Moraceae. The record is from RefSeq and is a predicted model, not a curated record. The transcript is spliced from 3 exons.